UACGUAGGGGCCUAGCGUUGUCCGGAUUUAUUGGGCGUAAAGAGCUCGUAGGCGGUUUGGUGAGUCGGGUGUGAAAUCUCCACGCUCAACGUGGAGGAGCCACCCGAUACUGCCAUGACUAGAGUCCGGUAGGGGAGUGUGGAAUUCCCGGUGUAGCGGUGAAAUGCGCAGAUAUCAGGAGGAACACCAAUUGCGAAGGCAGCUCGCUGGAACGUAACUGACGCUGAGACGCGAAAGCGUGGGGAGCAAACAGG
RNAcentral lists this ribosomal RNA (254 nucleotides) under uncultured bacterium. RNAcentral describes it as "partial 16S ribosomal RNA". It matches the Rfam family "Bacterial small subunit ribosomal RNA", at positions 524 to 776 of the family's 1533-position model. The record is from RNAcentral.